RNAcentral lists this non-coding RNA (151 nucleotides) under Brevibacillus borstelensis. RNAcentral's name for it is "FMN sequence". It matches the Rfam family "FMN riboswitch aptamer (RFN element)". Rfam says of the family: The RFN element is a highly conserved domain that is found frequently in the 5'-untranslated regions of prokaryotic mRNAs that encode for flavin mononucleotide (FMN) biosynthesis and transport proteins. This element is a metabolite-dependent riboswitch that directly binds FMN in the absence of proteins. RNAcentral also lists the same sequence under 1 other name. Lineage: Bacteria; Bacillati; Bacillota; Bacilli; Caryophanales; Paenibacillaceae. The record is from RNAcentral.
UCCAACCUUCAGGGUAGGGUGAAAUUCCCGACCGGCGGUGAUGACGAACGCACGUCCGAGCCCGCGACUCGCCCAUGAAAGAUAUUUCGUGAGCGACUGACUUGGUGAAAAUCCAAGGCCGACGGUAAAGUCCGGAUGGGAGAAGGUGGCU